UACGAAGGGUGCAAGCGUUACUCGGAAUUACUGGGCGUAAAGCGUGCGUAGGUGGUUUGUUAAGUCUGUUGUGAAAGCCCCGGGCUCAACCUGGGAAUGGCAAUGGAUACUGGCAGGCUAGAGUGCGGUAGAGGGUAGUGGAAUUCCCGGGUGUAGCGGUGAAAUGCGUAGAGAUCGGGAGGAACACCUGUGGCGAAGGCGGCCCCCUGGGCCGGCCCUGACACUGG
RNAcentral lists this ribosomal RNA (227 nucleotides) under uncultured bacterium. Its description in RNAcentral is "partial 16S ribosomal RNA". It matches the Rfam family "Bacterial small subunit ribosomal RNA", at positions 524 to 749 of the family's 1533-position model. The record is from RNAcentral.